RNAcentral lists this ribosomal RNA (466 nucleotides) under uncultured bacterium. Its description in RNAcentral is "partial 16S ribosomal RNA". It matches the Rfam family "Bacterial small subunit ribosomal RNA", at positions 28 to 507 of the family's 1533-position model. The record is from RNAcentral.
GAUGAACGCUGGCGGCGUGCUUAACACAUGCAAGUCGAACGGAAAGGCUCCUGCUUGCAGGGGCACUCGAGUGGCGAACGGGUGAGUAACACGUGGGUGAUCUGCCCUGCAAUUCGGGAUAAGCCUGGGAAACUGGGUCUAAUACCGGAUAGGAUCAUCGUUCAGUGUUGGUGGUGGAAAGUUUUUUCGGUGUGGGAUGAGCUCGCGGCCUAUCAGCUUGUUGGUGAGGUAAUGGCCUACCAAGGCGUCGACGGGUAGCCGGCCUGAGAGGGUGUACGGCCACAAUGGUACUGAGGUACGGCCCAGACUCCUACGGAAGGCAACAGGGGAGAGUUUGGCGCAGUAAGCGCAAGCCUGAUACGGCGGCGCCGCGUGGGGAAUAACGGCCUUCGGGUUGUAAACACCUUUCGCCAGGGACGAAGCGAAAGUGACGGUACCUAGAUAGAAAGCACCGGCUAACUACGUG